This 405-nucleotide ribosomal RNA is filed under the name bacterium. RNAcentral's name for it is "partial 16S ribosomal RNA". It matches the Rfam family "Bacterial small subunit ribosomal RNA", at positions 355 to 776 of the family's 1533-position model. The record is from RNAcentral.
UAAGGAAUAUUGCGCAAUGGGGGAAACCCUGACGCAGCAACGCCGCGUGGAGGAUGACACUUUUCGAAGCGUAAACUCCUUUUAUCAGGAAAGAAUAAUGACGGUACCUGAUGAAUAAGCACCGGCUAACUCCGUGCCAGCAGCCGCGGUAAUACGGGGGGUGCAAGCGUUACUCGGAAUCACUGGGCGUAAAGGACGCGUAGGCGGAUUAUCAAGUCUUUUGUGAAAUCUAGUGGCUUAACCACUAAACUGCUUAGGAAACUGAAAGUCUAGAGUAGGGGAGAGGUAGAUGGAAUUCUUGGUGUAGGGGUAAAAUCCGUAGAGAUCAAGAAGAAUACCCAUUGCGAAAGCGAUCUGCUGGAACCUAACUGACGCUGAGGCGUGAAAGCGUGGGUAGCAAACAGG